CGGCUGCUUUGUUGAGCCGU
Molecule: small RNA, 20 nt
Filed under: Arabidopsis thaliana (thale cress)
Lineage: Eukaryota; Viridiplantae; Streptophyta; Magnoliopsida; Brassicales; Brassicaceae
Description: Ath_wt_12530
Source: RNAcentral